RNAcentral lists this small RNA (1069 nucleotides) under uncultured bacterium. Its description in RNAcentral is "bacterial SSU rRNA". The stretch from base 1 to 487 matches the Rfam family "Bacterial small subunit ribosomal RNA", at positions 1045 to 1533 of the family's 1533-position model. The record is from RNAcentral.
AUGGCUGUCGUCAGCUCGUGUCGUGAGAUGUUGGGUUAAGUCCCGCAACGAGCGCAACCCCCGCCCUUAGUUGCCAGCGGUUCGGCCGGGCACUCUGGGGGGACUGCCGGUGAUAAGCCGGAGGAAGGCGGGGACGACGUCAAGUCAUCAUGGCCCUUAUGCCCAGGGCUACACACGUGUUACAAUGGGGGCGACAGAGGGCCGCAAAGCCGCGAGGUGGAGCGAAUCCCCAAAAGCCCCCCCAGUUCGGAUCGCAGUCUGCAACUCGACUGCGUGAAGCCGGAAUCGCUAGUAAUCGCGGAUCAGCACGCCGCGGUGAAUCCGUUCCCGGGCCUUGUACACACCGCCCGUCACACCAUGGGAGUGGGCUGUACCAGAAGUAGGUAGUCUAACCUUCGGGAGGACGCUUACCACGGUGUGGUUCAUGACUGGGGUGAAGUCGUAACAAGGUAGCCCUAGGGGAACCUGGGGCUGGAUCACCUCCUUAAAAGAAGUGUGAAUCUUUCGUUUUAAGCGCCCACACAAUCUACUUAAUCAGUUCACCGACCGCGGGUCUGUAGCUCAGUUGGUUAGAGCGCACCCCUGAUAAGGGUGAGGUCGGAAGUUCAACUCUUCCCAGACCCACCAGGUUGCCUCCAAAAUAGAGGUUUACCAAUCGGGGCCAUAGCUCAGCUGGGAGAGCACCUGCUUUGCAAGCAGGGGGUCGGCGGUUCGAUCCCGCCUGGCUCCACCAGGUGAUAAACGAUAGUGGUUUAGACCACUGUCGUUUAUUUCCUGACGAAGUCGGGUCAGCGGACGCUCUUUAACAAUUUAGUAGUAGUGAUAUACGACGGUGAAGUCGAGCCUGUUUCAGGCGAGGCUUUACUGGGUAUACCAGCAUUUAUCAGUAGAUGUAUUCGAUAUAUUCCUAAAAGGAUCAGUCUUUUUGGGGUUAUAUGAUCAAGCGACCAAGCGCGCAUGGUGGAUGCCUAGGUGGUAAGAGGCGAUGAAGGACGUUGUAGCCUGCGAUAAGCCUCGGGGAGCCGGCAAACAGGCUUUGAUCCGAGGAUUUCCGAAUGGGGAAACCCGG